GCUUGUCUCAAAGAUUAAGCCAUGCAUGUCUAAGUAUAAACUAUUUUAUACUGUGAAACUGCGAAUGGCUCAUUAAAUCAGUUAUAGUUUAUUUGAUGGUACCUUACUACUCGGAUAACCGUAGUAAUUCUAGAGCUAAUACAUGCGUCAAUACCCUUCUGGGGUAGUAUUUAUUAGAUUGAAACCAACCGCUUCGGCGUGAUGUGGUGAUUCAUAAUAAAUUUGCGAAUCGCAUGGCUUUACGCCGGCGAUGGAUCAUUCAAAUUUCUGCCCUAUCAGCUUUCGACGGUAGUGUAGUGGACUACCGUGGCGUUAACGGGUAACGGAGAAUUAGGGUUCGAUUCCGGAGAGGGAGCCUGAGAAACGGCUACCACAUCCAAGGAAGGCAGCAGG
RNAcentral lists this ribosomal RNA (393 nucleotides) under Diatoma tenuis. Its description in RNAcentral is "partial small subunit ribosomal RNA". It matches the Rfam family "Eukaryotic small subunit ribosomal RNA", at positions 30 to 432 of the family's 1831-position model. Lineage: Eukaryota; Bacillariophyta; Fragilariophyceae; Tabellariales; Tabellariaceae. The record is from RNAcentral.